UGUAAGAGGAUAUUAGACUUGUUUUUCUAUAGGUAUGAGAAUUUUGAAAUCAAUCGAUCAGUGAAAAAGAGAUAUAUUGGCUCUAGAAAAUUGGCAUCAAGGUUGGAGAAGGAGGCCGGCUAAUAUUUGAGUACAUUUUUGAGGUUAUCGUCUAUUUGGUAAUUCCGAUCCUUUUCAAAUUUUUUGUGUUUGUAUUUAACUUAGAUUCUAAUAAGUGUGAAGAAUUUGAGUUAAUAUCAAUGGUUAAUUUAUUAGUUAUUGAGGUUUAAUUCUGUUGUAGAAAUUACUAUGAUUUGGUUAGGAUUUGAUUUAGGAUUAGGAUUUGGUUAGGGUUUGAUUUAGAAUUAGGAUUUAGUUUAGGAUUUAGGAUUAGGAUUAGGAUUUGGUUAGGAUUUGAUUUAGGAUUAGGGUUUGAUUAGAUUUUAGUUAAGAUUUGAUUUAGGAUUUAGGAUUUAGUUUAGGAUUUAAUUUAGGAUUUAGGAUUUGAUUUAGGAUUUAAGGUUUGGUUUAGGAUUUAAGAUUUGAUUAGGAUUUGAUGAAGAUUUGAUUUAGGAUUUAAGAUUUAGUUAGUUUUAGGCCUAAAGUUUGAAUGAAGUCGAAUAAGUUUUCAACUAUGAUUAAAUUAAGGUUGAAUUGAGAUGUAUUUGAGAUAUGUUUGUAAUCAUUCUAAUUUUUUUUUAAGAUUUCUUAUUGUUUCUUUGGAAUUCUUUUGAGGUUUCUCUAAAUUUGAUUAAAGUUUAUUUAGCAUUAUUAGUGUUCUAUUAGAAUUAGG
This 772-nucleotide long non-coding RNA is filed under the name Physcomitrium patens. Its description in RNAcentral is "long non-coding RNA (PPAT_LNC012779)". The record is from RNAcentral. Lineage: Eukaryota; Viridiplantae; Streptophyta; Bryopsida; Funariales; Funariaceae.